UUAUAAAAACCAGGUCUGAGAAAGUCUGUUAAUAGAAGUCUAAAUUUCUAGCUGUAUCUGGAUUGUGUGUAGACAAUACUCUACACACCUAGAUAUCAAAGGGCUUCCUUCUCACUGCAGUUCUGUGAAAUCACAUGCAUAUUGCCUUGUCCACCCAAUGUUUUGGUGAAGAACAGAGGCUUAUUGAUAAACCAGUGCUUGAGUACCAGAAUUAUUUUACUUCCCAUGUAAGAAUUGCCCUCCUCUGAGGUUCCACUCAGAUUUUUGGACCUGCCAUCUAGUGGCCACUGCAGUAACAAGGCAAUGGUAACAUUUUUGUCUUCAUUUGAAAACUGGAGUUUGAAUGUGGCUCAUCUGUGGAUAAAUAUGGAGACACUCCGCCCAUGACCACAGUCCCCUCCUCCGUUAGACAUACAGCCGUUUUCAUAGAGCAGCUUCAAUCAGAACAUUUGUUAUAAUCACAGGAAAAGCAGAUUUUUCAUACAGAAUGAUACACACUAC
RNAcentral lists this long non-coding RNA (501 nucleotides) under Bos taurus (domestic cattle). RNAcentral's name for it is "long non-coding RNA NONBTAT000519". Lineage: Eukaryota; Metazoa; Chordata; Mammalia; Artiodactyla; Bovidae. The record is from RNAcentral.